Molecule: long non-coding RNA, 427 nt
Filed under: Anas platyrhynchos platyrhynchos (common mallard)
Lineage: Eukaryota; Metazoa; Chordata; Aves; Anseriformes; Anatidae
Description: lncRNA (ENSAPLG00000019555.1)
Source: RNAcentral
AGUUGUGUUGACUCAUAAAUCUUGCCCCAGCUUCUCUGUGUUUUGAGAAGCUUACUUGUCAGAGGCUGUGAUUUUUUUGUUUGUUUAUUUUGUUGUGACUGCAGAACCAUAUUGGAAAGGCAUGUCUCUCUGAAUGAAGAUGUCAAAACAACGAAUGAACUUGGAAGCAUUGGAUCAAAUCUUCAGUCUCUCAGAUCAAAAGUUUGCUGAGUUUCUUUGUGAGCAUGAAAACUCCUAAUCCACACACUCAAGAAACUUGCAUUAGGAUUCUUCUCUUUCCAUUGUUUCUGAUCUGUCUCGACAAAUCCAAAAGGUAAGUGAUAAAUAAUAUAGUUCUGUUUAGACAUCCCUUGAAUUUAAUGGACACUGUGGAGUAUAAAAGUAGUUGAACCAGGCUCAAAAACAUGUUGGAUGAUUUUUUUUCAAC